Molecule: ribosomal RNA, 497 nt
Filed under: uncultured bacterium
Lineage: Bacteria
Description: partial 16S ribosomal RNA
Rfam family: Bacterial small subunit ribosomal RNA
Source: RNAcentral
GAUGAACGCUGGCGGCGUGCCUAAUACAUGCAAGUCGAGCGAACGGGCGAGAAGCUUGCUUCUCUGAUGUUAGCGGCGGACGGGUGAGUAACACGUGGAUAACCUACCUAUAAGACUGGGAUAACUUCGGGAAACCGGAGCUAAUACCGGAUGAUAUUUUGAACCGCAUGGUUCAAAAGUGAAAGACGGUCUUGCUGUCACUUAUAGAUGGACCCGCGCUGCAUUAGCUAGUUGGUAAGGUAACGGCUUACCAAGGCAACGAUGCAUAGCCGACCUGAGAGGGUGAUCGGCCACACUGGAACUGAGACACGGUCCAGACUCCUACGGGAGGCAGCAGUAGGGAAUCUUCCGCAAUGGGCGAAAGCCUGACGGAGCAACGCCGCGUGAGUGAUGAAGGUCUUCGGAUCGUAAAACUCUGUUAUUAGGGAAGAACAUAUGUGUAAGUAACUGUGCACAUCUUGACGGUACCUAAUCAGAAAGCCACGGCUAACUACGUG